Molecule: ribosomal RNA, 457 nt
Filed under: uncultured bacterium
Lineage: Bacteria
Description: bacterial SSU rRNA
Rfam family: Bacterial small subunit ribosomal RNA
Source: RNAcentral
UACGGAAGGCAGCGAGUGGGGAAUAUUGCACAAUGGGCGAAAGCCUGAUGCAGCGUAUGCCGCGUGUAUGAAGAAGGCCUUAGGGUUGUAAAGUACUUUCAUCGGGGAGGAAAAAACAAAACUAAUAAUUUUAUUUCUUGACGUUACCCGAAAAAGAAGCACCGGCUAACUCCGUGCCAGCAGCCGCGGUAAUACGGAGGGUGCUAGCGUUAAUCAGAAUUACUGGGCGUAAAGAGCACGUAGGUGGUUUUUUAAGUCAGAUGUGAAAUCCCUGGGCUUAACCUAGGAACUGCAUUUUGAAACUGAAAUACUAGAGUAUCGUAGAGGGAGGUAGAAUUCUAGGUGUAGCGGUGAAAUGCGUAGAUAUCUGGAGGAAUACCUGUGGCGAAAGCGGCCUCCUAAACGAAUACUGACACUGAGGUGCGAAAGCGUGGGGAGCAAACAGGGAUUAGAUACC